CCUACGGUGUGCAGCAGUCGAGAAUCAUUCAUAAUGGGGGAAACCCUGAUGGUGCGACGCCGCGUGGGGGAAUGCAGGUCUUCGGAUUGUAAACCCCUGUCAUGUGGGAGCAAAUUAAAAAGAUAGUACCACAAGAGGAAGAGACGGCUAACUCUGUGCCAGCAGCCGCGGUAAUACAGAGGUCUCAAGCGUUGUGCGGAAUCACUGGGCGUAAAGCGUGCGUAGGCUGUUUCGUAAGUCGUGUGUGAAAGGCGCGGGCUCAACCAGCGGACGGCACAUGAUACUGCGAGGCUAGAGUAAGGGAGGGGGAACCGGAAUUCUCGGUGUAGCAGUGAAAUGCGUAGAUAUCGAGAGGAACACUCGUGGCGAAGGCGGGUUCCUGGACAUUAACUGCCGCUGAGGCACGAAGGCCAGGGGAGCGAAAGGGAUUAGAUACCCGAGUAGUC
This 446-nucleotide ribosomal RNA is filed under the name uncultured bacterium. Its description in RNAcentral is "partial 16S ribosomal RNA". It matches the Rfam family "Bacterial small subunit ribosomal RNA", at positions 338 to 795 of the family's 1533-position model. The record is from RNAcentral.